RNAcentral lists this small nuclear RNA (296 nucleotides) under Sorex araneus (European shrew). RNAcentral's name for it is "7SK RNA (ENSSARG00000018297.1)". It matches the Rfam family "7SK RNA". From Rfam's summary of the family: 7SK was discovered as an abundant small nuclear RNA in the mid-70s but a possible function has only recently been suggested. Two independent studies have found that 7SK RNA binds the CDK9/cyclin T complex (known as elongation factor P-TEFb). Lineage: Eukaryota; Metazoa; Chordata; Mammalia; Eulipotyphla; Soricidae. The record is from RNAcentral.
AUGUAAGGGCGAUCUGGCUGUGACAUUUGUCACCCCAUUGAUUACCAGGGUUGAUUCUGCUGAUCUGGCUGGCUAGGCGGGUGUCCCCUCCCUCCCUCACCAUUCAAUGUGCGUUUCUCCCGAAGCUGCGUGCUAGGUCAAAGAGUACGGCCUUCCCCGAAUAGAAACGGACUCGCCUUCGAUCAAGUGUAUACGAGUAGCUGCACUCCCCUACUAGAACCUCCAUACAAGCUCGGAAUAUACUAUCCUACCAAAAAUUGCUAAAAGUUAUUCAAGUUGUGACUCUUAGAGAAACU